GACGAACGCUGGCGGCGUGCUUAACACAUGCAAGUCGAACGGAAAGGCCUGCUUUCCCUUGUGGAUUGCGGGUACUCGAGUGGCGAACGGGUGAGUAACACGUGAGUGAUCUGCCCCCAACUUGGGUAUAAGCCUGGGAAACUGGGUCUAAUUCCCGAUAGGACUGCAGGGUGGUGCCUGUGGUGGAAAACGAUUUUCUAGUGGUUGGGGAUGAGCUCGCGGCCUAUCAGCUUGUUGGUGGGGUAAUGGCCUACCAAGGCGGCGACGGGUAGCCGGCCUGAGAGGGUGGACGGCGACAUUGGGACUGAGAUACGGCCCAGACUCCUACGGGAGGCAGCAGUGGGGAAGAUUGCACAAUGGGCGGAAGCCUGAUGCAGCGACGCCGCGUGGGGGAUGACGGCCUUCGGGUUGUAAACUCCUUUCGACCGCGAGGAAGCCACCUGGUUGGAAGGGUGGUGACGGUAGUGGUAGAAGAAGCACCGGCUAACUACGUG
RNAcentral lists this ribosomal RNA (494 nucleotides) under uncultured bacterium. RNAcentral describes it as "partial 16S ribosomal RNA". It matches the Rfam family "Bacterial small subunit ribosomal RNA", at positions 28 to 507 of the family's 1533-position model. The record is from RNAcentral.